Molecule: long non-coding RNA, 1742 nt
Filed under: Taeniopygia guttata (zebra finch)
Lineage: Eukaryota; Metazoa; Chordata; Aves; Passeriformes; Estrildidae
Description: lncRNA (ENSTGUG00000022140.1)
Source: RNAcentral
CACCUGAACAUCCACUGCCAUGAGUACUGCUUCAGGUGUGGAAUUUGCCACAAAGCAAUGGGAGAGCUGCUGGAUAAAAUAUUCAUCCACCGCGACAUUGUCCACUGUGACAAGUGCUACGAGAAGCUCUUCUAGGGCCCCGCGGAGCUGGGAAUGCAGCCGGUGCCCGGCGGCUCGUCUGGGAAUACCGCAGCUCCUGAGUGGCUGAGAUUGCAGAAUUCCUGCUCCCCGCUUUCCUCGAGUUCUUUUCCGCUCUCGCUGCCCCGUGGCCGUGGAUGAGUUCAGCACCUGCUGGUUGAUGCUGUCACCUGCACCAGAUAAGAGUGAUGACAACGAGAUAAGGCAGCCUUCCUCCUCAAAGAUAACAUUUUCCAGAGGUGCUGAGCCCUUCAGCCUGGCUUUAGCUGCAUGAAGAGUCGAGUGCUCCCGGAGCUGGGAGUCAGGCACAGCUCCUCAGGUUCAUCCCAGCUAAUUGCCACAAGUCUCUGCUGAUGAUAUUUGUAUUUCUUUCCCUUGUGCAGCCAGGCUGUGCGAGCUGGCACACAAACACCAGGAGCCUUAAACUCUAAAUUUGGAUUCUUGGGAGAUUUGAAUUUAGUCCUUAGCAAAAGCCUAUUUCUGCGUCUUUCACCCCCAAAUUCAGCCUAGAAAUAGCUUCUGCCUGAUUUCCAUUUGCUUUCUCCAGGAUUCCAGGAGCACUUGCAAACUCUAUUCUAAUUGUGUGUCAGCUUUAAUUCCCCUUCCUGCGUCUUCCCUGAGGAUGCUGCAGCAGCACUUGUGGCUGCUGCCUGUUUGGGGAGAUAACAGUGUCCUUCCCUGGUGUUUAACUUGGGCUCUGAGGGCAGGUGUCCUGUGCCAGAGCAGGGGCAUCUCCAUUCCCUCUCCUGACAAAGAGCUCUGCUCAGCUGAAAUCCCACUUUCCCCCCUCAUCAGGGCUUUGCCCAGGCCUCUCACUGCUGCAGAUCACUCACAGCCCAAAUGCUCCCUAACAACAUUGAACUUCCAGCAGAUGCUGCACUCAGUAAAAUCAGAAUUGUGUCGUUUUAGCCCUUAACUCAGAGCUGAGAGGUUGGGAAUGCUGAAUAGUGAAACCUGAAAGUCAGGUGUCCUAAAAGGGCCCAGAUGUACUGUUUCCUCUUGGGAAGCAUUAGGAGCCAUAGAACUAGAGAAUCCUUAAAGUUCAUCUAUUUUAAAGUUCAAGGCAGGAACCAAGCUCCAUCCAGCCUGGCCUUGGACACUUCCAGGGAUCCAGGGGCAGCCACAGCUUCUCUGGGCAACCAACGCUUCCCCAUCCUCACAGCCAAGAAUUGCCAAAAACCAAGCUUCUCCUAAAAUCCUGUGAUUACCUGGGGAAAAAAGGAACCCUGAUCCCCCAUGUGAAUUUUUGUUUGUGUUGAGAGCAGCUGAGGGAGCUGGGAAAGAGGCUCAACCUGAAGGAAAAGAGGCUAAGAAGGGACCUUCUGACUGUGCACAAUCCCUGACAGGAGAGGUUUUUCCCCUUAAAGACAUGUAUCACCCCAAAGGAACCUGCAGCUAUUAUAAAAAUGUUAUGCUUUAUAAUUUGUAUUGAUCUGAGCUUUGAAGAAUUGCUGACCUACCCCCCAUGAAUAAAAAACAAAUGAAUUAUUCAAAGAGCUGAAUCUUCCUGGUGUUUGUGGAGAAAGGUCACCUGCACACAGAUUUUUUUCCUACAUGAUGGAUGAGGUCAUGCAUUUUCUUUCACAAAAAGGUCUUGGGAUUCU